GAGGAAUUACACAAAAAUAUUAAAAGAUUUACAUAUUGCAUAUGUUUUAGUUGCAUUCUUAUUACUUGAGAAAAAUAUUGUCUUUAUAUACAUUUUAAUUUGCUAGAAAUGCGUUUUGUCUGUUUCUGUCUAAACCGUCACCGGCGUCACGUGACACAGACGCGAUCUUUUUAUUUUUUUACAGACGCAAUUCCUUCUAUGACCUAAUAUGGAAUCCAUGACGACAUAGAACGCCAGCUCUCGGGCUAUAUAAAGCGCAGUUCCACACAGUGUUGUUGAGUUAUUCUGUGGUGAGUUUAGGAAGAGAACGGUCAACCUUAAAACACUCUGCUGAGGACAGUGCAGGACAGGUUAAAGUCUCUGCUCACUGAAUGCUGUGUCUACUAGGGAGAAACUUCUGUAAAAGUUACAUCUCUGCACAUGACUUAUUCUGUGGUGAGGGUAAGAACGGUAAACCUUAAAACACUCUGAGACACACUGCAAGACAGGUAAAGAGGGAAACAUGUUUACCUUAUGAAGCAUUAAGAUAAUAUAAUUAAUUUACAUGGUUUUUUAUUAGAAUUAUACUUCGUUGUGUAAACUAAUUAAAAAAUCAGAUGUAAAGCCAAACAUUUUUUGAAAAGAAACGCUACCAAAUAUGAUUAGAAGUACUAAAGCAUAUACAGUCAGUAUGUGUGUGUAUAUGUAUGUACAGUAUAUGUAUGUAUAUAUAGUUCAGUUCAGUUUAUAUAUUAAAGAAAAAAAUACUUUAAUCGUCUCAAAACUUUAGGUUGCUCGAAGGUCCUUGUUAUAGAUUUGCUUGUUUCCUUAUGCUGGGUGCAGUGCUGCUCUGUGCAUGACUAUCAGCUUCAUGCCCACAAUGCGGUGUGCACUCUGUACCGGGUGGGUCAAGGUUUGGGACUGGCAAAAAGACAGGAAUGGCCUACUUUUAAAACACCUAAGCAUCUAAUGUAAAGACCUUGUUUUGUAAUAUUACCAAUUUUUCUAACAUAAUAAUCAAUAGAUUUAUUUUUUUAAUAGAGAUUAUUAUCCAUCGUGUAAAUACGUUAAAACGGAUGUACAGGACAACAAGUUUUUUUUUAAUUAAACACUUAACUAAUACGAUUAGAAGUAGGGUACUGCCCUGUAAUGUGGGUUUUUGGCUCACAGGCCAGGUCCCUAUAGUUAUUUAUUAUGAAAAUAUCUAAAUACCUUGUUUCAAAAUGUUUCAUAAGCGGCCAAUCCCGACGAGAGGUGUCUAGAGCAUUUGCGCAAGCGUAUGAUAAGUCUUGGGCGGGACAGGGCUGCCUGCCAUCCUGGAAGUUUUUGAUUUCCAGGGUCUCUGACCACCAGUCGAGCCGGACGAGAGGUGUCCAGAGCAUACACGCAAGCGGGACAGGGCCCCCUGCCAUCCUGGAAGUCUUGUACUUCUAGGGUCUCCAACCCUACAGGCAGAGCCCGACGAGAAGUCUUGGACUUCCAGGGUCUCUGACUCUACCGUCCAAGCUUGAUUAUAAGUCUUGGGCGGGACAGGGCCGCCUGCUCUCCAGGAAGUUUUGGACUUCCAGGGUCUCCGACCCUACUGGUCAAGCCAGACGAGGUGUCCAGAGCAUACACGCAAGCGGGACAGGGCCGCUUGCCGUCCUAGAAGUCUUGGACUUCCAGGGUCUCUGACCUUACAGGCCAAUCCUGACGAGAGGUGGCCAGAGCAUACGCGCAAGGGGGACAGGGCCUUUUGCCGUCCUAGAAGUCUUGUACUUCUAAGGUCUUCAACCCUACAGGCAGAACCCGACAAGAAGUCUUGGACUUCCAGGGUCUCUGACUCUACCGUCCCAGCUUGAUGAUAAGUCUUGGGCGGGACAGGGCUGCCUGCCAUCCUGGUAGUUUUUGAUUUCCAGGGUCUCUGACCACCAGUCGAGCCUGACGAGAGGUGUCCAGAGCAUACGCGCAAGCGGGACAGGGCCGCCUGCCAUCCUGGAAGUUUUGGACUUCCAGGGUGUCUGACCCUACCGGCCAAGCUCGACGAGAGGUGUCCAGAGCAUAUACGCAAGCGGGACAGGGCCGCCUGCCAUCCUGGAAGUCUUGGACUUCCAGAGUGUCUGACGACCCUACCGGUCAGGCCAGACGAGGUGUCCAGAGCAUACGCGCAAGCGGGACAGGGCCACUUGCCGUCCUAGAAGUCUCUGACUUCCAGGGUCUCUGACCUUACAGGCCAAUCCCAAUGAGAGGUGGCCAGAGCAUACGCGCAAGCGGAACCGGGCCGCCUGCCAUCCUGGAAGUCUUGUACUUCUAGGGUCUCCAACCCUACAGGCAGAGCCCGACGAGAAGUCUUGGACUUCCAGGGUCUCUGACUCUACCGUCCAAGCUUGAUGAUAAGUCUUGGGCAGGAUAGGGCUGCCUGCCAUCUUGGAAGUUUUUGAUUUCCAGGGUCUCUAACCACCAGCCGAGCCUGACGAGAGGUGUCCAGAGCAUACACGCAAGCGGGACAGGGCCGCCUGCCAUCCUGGAAGUCUUGGACUUCCAGGGUCUCUGACUCUACCGUCCAAGCUUGAUGAUAAGUCUUGGGCAGGAUAGGGCUGCCUGCCAUCUUGGAAGUUUUUGAUUUCCAGGGUCUCUGACCACCAGCCGAGCCUGACGAGAGGUGUCCAGAGCAUACACGCAAGCGGGACAGGGCCGCCUGCUCUCUAGGAAGUUUUGGACUUCCAGGGUCUCCGACCCUACUGGUCAAGCCACACGAGGUGUCCAGAGCAUAUGCGCAAGCGGGACAGGGCCGCUUGCCGUCCUAGAAGUCUUGGACUUCCAGGGUCUCUGACCUUACAGGCCAAUCCUGACGAGAGGUGGCCAGAGCAUACGCACAAGGGGGACAGGGCCUUUUGCCAUCCUAGAAGUCUUGUACUUCUAAGGUCUUCAACCCUACAGGCAGAGCCCGACAAGAAGUCUUGGACUUCCAGGGUCUCUGACUCUACCGUCCCAGCUUGAUGAUAAGUCUUGGGCGGGACAGGGCUGCCUGCCAUCCUGGAAGUUUUUGAUUUCCAGGGUCUCUGACCACCAGUCGAGCCUGACGAGAGGUGUCCAGAGCAUACGCGCAAGCGGGACAGGGCCGCCUGCCAUCCUGGAAGUUUUGGACUUCCAGGGUGUCUGACCCUACCGGCCAAGCUCGACGAGAGGUGUGCAGAGCAUAUACGCAAGCGGGACAGGGCCGCCUGCCAUCCUGGAAGUCUUGGACUUCCAGAGUGUCUGACGACCCUACCGGUCAGGCCAGACGAGGUGUCCAGAGCAUACGCGCAAGCGGGACAGGGCCACUUGCCGUCCUAGAAGUCUCUGACUUCCAGGGUCUCUGACCUUACAGGCCAAUCCCAAUGAGAGGUGGCCAGAGCAUACGCGCAAACGGAACAGGGCCACCUGCCAUCCUGGAAGUCUUGUACUUCUAGGGUCUCCAACCCUACAGGCAGAGCCCGACGAGAAGUCUUGGACUUCCAGGGUCUCUGACUCUACCGUCCAAGCUUGAUGAUAAGUCUUGGGCAGGAUAGGGCUGCCUGCCAUCUUGGAAGUUUUUGAUUUCCAGGGUCUCUGACCACCAGCCGAGCCUGACGAGAGGUGUCCAGAGCAUACACGCAAGCGGGACAGGGCCGCCUGCCAUCCUGGAAGUCUUGGACUUCCAGGGUCUCUGACUCUACCGUCCAAGCUUGAUGAUAAGUCUUGGGCAGGAUAGGGCUGCCUGCCAUCUUGGAAGUUUUUGAUUUCCAGGGUCUCUGACCACCAGCCGAGCCUGACGAGAGGUGUCCAGAGCAUACACGCAAGCGGGACAGGGCCGCCUGCUCUCUAGGAAGUUUUGGACUUCCAGGGUCUCCGACCCUACUGGUCAAGCCACACAAGGUGUCCAGAGCAUAUGCGCAAGCGGGACAGGGCCGCUUGCCGUCCUAGAAGUCUUGGACUUCCAGGGUCUCUGACCUUACAGGCCAAUCCUGACGAGAGGUGGCCAGAGCAUACGCACAAGGGGGACAGGGCCUUUUGCCAUCCUAGAAGUCUUGUACUUCUAAGGUCUUCAACCCUACAGGCAGAGCCCAACAAGAAGUCUUGGACUUCCAGGGUCUCUGACUCUACCGUCCAAGCUUGAUGAUAAGUCUUGGGCGGGACAGGGCUGCCUGCCAUCCUGGAAGUUUUUGAUUUCCAGGGUCUCUGACCACCAGUCGAGCCUGACGAGAGGUGUCCAGAGCAUACGCGCAAGCGGGACAGGGCCGCCUGCCAUCCUAGAAGUUUUGGACUUCCAAGGUCUCCGACCCUACCGAUCAAGCGAGACGAGGUGUCCAGAGCAUACGCGCAAGCGGGACAGGGCCGCUUGCCGUCCUAGAAGUCUUGGACUUCCAGGGUCUCUGACCUUACAGGCCAAUCCCAACGAGAGGUGGCCAGAGCAUACGCGCAAGGGGGACAGGGCCGUUUGCCGUCCUAGAAGUCUUGGACUUCCAUUGUCUCUGACCUUACCGGCCAAUCCUGACGAGAGGUGUCCAGAGCAUACGCGCAAGGGGGACAGGGCCGUUUGCCGUCCUAGAAGUCUUGGACUUCCAGUGUCUCUGACCUUACCGGCCAAUCCUGACGAGAGGUGUCCAGAGCAUACGCGCAAGUGGGACAGGGCCGCUUGCCGUUCUGGAAGUCUUGGACUUCUAGAGUCUCCAACCCUACAGGCAGAGCCCGACGAGAAGUCUUGGACUUCCAGGGUCUCUGACUCUACCAUCCAAGCCUGAAUAUAAGUCUUGGGUGGGACAGGGCUGCUUGCCAUCCUGGAAGUUUUUGAUUUCCAGGGUCUCUGACCACCAACCGAGCCUGACGAGAGGUGUCCAGAGCUUACGCGCAAGCGGGACAGGGCCGCCUGCCAUCCUGGAAGUUUUAGACUUCCAGGGUGUCUGACCCUACUGGCAAAGGUCGACAAGAGGUGUCCAGAGCAUACCAGCAAGCGGGACAGGGCCGCCUGCCAUCCUGGAAGUCUUGGACUUCCAGUAUGUCUGACCCUACUGGCUAAGACGAGAAGUGUCCAGAGCAUACACGCAAGCAGGUCAGGGCCGUCUGCUGUCUGACCCUACCAGCCGAGCCCAAAGACAGGACUCAGAAACGGAUGCGCAGGCGGGACAGGGCCGCCUGCUCUCCUGGAAGUUUUGGACUUCCAGGGUCUCCGACCCUACUGGUCAAGCCGGAUGAGGUGUCCAGAGCAUACGCGCAAGCGGGACAGGACCACUUGCCGUCCUAGAAGUCUUGGACUUCCAGGGUCUCUGACCUUACAGGCCAAUCCCAACGAGAGGUGGCCAGAGCAUACGCGCAAGGGGGACAGGGACGUUUGCCGUCCUAGAAGUCUUAAACUUCCAGGGUCUCUGACCUUACAUGCCAAUCCCAACGAGAGGUGGCCAGAGCAUACGUGCAAGCGGGACAAGGCCACUUGCCGUCCUGCAAGUCUUGGACUUCCAGGGUGUCCUACCCUACCCCCCGAGCCCAAAGAAAGGACUCAGGAGCAUAUGCGUAGUUGGGACAGGGCCACAUGCCAUCCUGGAAGUUUUGGACUUCCAGGGUCUUCAACUUGGACUUCCAGGGUGUCCGACCCUUCCGGCUUAGCCCGAAGCGAGGACUUCGAAGAGAACAUGCAGGCGGGACAGGGCCGCCUGACGUCCUGGAAGUCUUGGACUUCCAGACGGCCGAGCAGAAGUAGAGAGCAUUGGCCUGCAUUGGCCAUUACAUUGGCGCUGUGAAAAAGCUUUAGAGAAAUCAUAAAAGGGAAAGGCUCACAUAGCGUCAGCUUCAAACGCAAUGUAGAGAGACUGUUCUCGAAAAGGAACAAUGUAAAGCUAGGCAAACACUAAACAUACUAGCCAAAACUGAACUAUAAACUUAACAGUAAACUAAACUUUAAAUAACUAGACUUCAUAGACUUUAUACAGGAAACAUACAAACAAAUCAGCACAGGACAGCAAACAUUAGCUUAUCAUGGGGGUAACAGGUGUGGGGCAUAUAACAAUAGCAAAAUAAUUAACCCAAUUAACACCAAAGCAAACAAUGACAUGUGCUUCCACACAAAACAAGUAACGUUGUCACGAUCCUGACAAAAGACUAGAAAAGCAUGAAUGAUAGAGGCAGGAUCGUGACAUAUGGUGAAAUUGUCAUAAGUUUUGUCCUUAACUUCUUCUGUGAGUUCAGUUUGUUUUACAGAUAGUAAAAACAGUUGAUGGAAUGUUGUUAGAUGACCAACUCAUAAGCAAAUAAAGUUGAGACGGAGAUGAAGCAGGAGGACCAGGCUCCAUGACUGAUGGAAAGCUCUUCAUCCAGGCAUCAGUCAAUCAGAACACCCAAGAGGAUGCUGCACAUUCACUGUGCUGAAACUGUGAAGACAACUCAGACUUCAAAGAUUCAAAACAACACCACUGAAUCACUUUGAAUAAUCACAUGAUCACAAAGCAUUCAAGAGACGGACACGCGCCUCUGCCAAUAAUAACAUAAUAAAAGUAAAUAAAGAUAUAAAAGAUUAAAGUAAAGUGCUUCUUCCAGUGCUGCGUCCGGGACCGAAAUUGCCUGUUUAGAGCCAAUUUAACAUAGAAUAUUUAUUUAAUUAAAAACAGAAAUAUUAAUCGACUUUAACUAAAGGUUUCACUAUCGUGCAGUGUCCUUAAUAUUAUUUCUGCGUAUACGUUCAUGCAGAUUUUGCCCACAUUAUUGAAUGAACAGACCCUUUUAUGGACAUUAUUUAUGGUUAUAUUAAAGGAGUUAUGCAGUCCAAAACAGACGUUUACUGUAGUAAAACCAUGUUUUGCCAAUCAAUAAAGCAAGACAACAUGGUUAAUUUUUAUAAGGGUCUUCGAUUAAAGGUAUGAUGUAGGAACACAUCUAGGAUUAACAUCUAGGAUAACAGUUUUUUGCUAGAUGUUAACUUUGAAUUGGAACAGUACUUGGCCAUCUACUGAUGACGUUUCAAAAGUAUUCAGUCUUUAUAAUACAAGUCCAGGCAGACAAUGCAUAUUAAUAAGUGGCCAACACAUACCACUCAGUAAUUUCAGUGCAGUUCCUCCCCCCAUGCCCACCACUCAUGCAACCAUUUAUAGCAAGAAACUGUAAUUUUAUAAAACAGUUCAGUACCGUAAAAUUAGGCCGUAAAUUUAUCACUCAAAAAAAAUUCUGUCUUCAUUUUCUCAUCCUCAUGUUGUUCUAAACCUGUAUGAAUUUCUUUUUCCAAAGAUAUUUUGAUAAAUGGUAACCAUUAGCUGUGUGUUUACUAUCAUUUAUCAAAUUAUCUUCUUUUGUGUUCAUCAGAAAAAAAGAAAUGUAUACAUGUUAUCAAAACAUUACACUUUUAAUUGAAAAUAUCUAUCCCACACACGGAGAAGAAAAUAAACAGGAAGAAAAUUUUCAGCCAUGAAAUUCUUAUUUUAAUUGAUGGAUACAAAGAAAACAAAACAAUUCUUGAAAAUUCGUUGACAAACGUGCAGUUCUUCAUAAUUACGAGCUAAUCAAUUUGAUCAAAUCUGGCUGACAUCUUAGUCUCACCUUUAUUCAUGGACAGAGGCUUUUGUAGCUAAAUAUUUAGUUACAACGUAUUGUUACGUUUAAUGGUGCAACGCAAAAACAUUUAGUAGUGCGUAAGUUGUAACUUAGUGGUGCCCAUUUACGUCGUAACUAGGCUACGUUGUAACUUUCGCAAAGCUGGUGCAACCGGCCCCAGGCCAUUAGGCCAAGAUCUUUGAUUCCUUUCUCUCUCUUUUAAACUUUCUUUCUUUCCCUGUUCUUUAUAUUAUCAGUUAAUAUCUCACAUACAUUGGAAACCGUUAUUUGUACAUUACCAUUUCAUGCAUUUGUAGUGUAACCAUUUUAGUUGUAACUUUAAGUCAGUACUGUUAUUAAACCUUUUAAUUUAUAAA
Non-coding RNA from Misgurnus anguillicaudatus (oriental weatherfish), 7871 nucleotides. Lineage: Eukaryota; Metazoa; Chordata; Actinopteri; Cypriniformes; Cobitidae. The record is from RefSeq and is a predicted model, not a curated record.